Bradysia coprophila is the source of this 141-nucleotide long non-coding RNA. The record is from RefSeq and is a predicted model, not a curated record. NCBI's taxonomy places the organism in Eukaryota, Metazoa, Arthropoda, Insecta, Diptera, Sciaridae.
GUCUCACAAAAAAUGGUAACACCAUUAUCAAGUGCAAUGCCAUCCAGCCACAUAUUGAACGCUAAACAAAUUCAAAAUAAAUAAGAAGGAAAAAAAAACGUCAGUUUGUUGAAAGCCAACGCAACACAAAAAAUUUUUGUU